Cinara cedri is the source of this 3115-nucleotide non-coding RNA. The record is from the annotation of a GenBank genome assembly. NCBI's taxonomy places the organism in Eukaryota, Metazoa, Arthropoda, Insecta, Hemiptera, Aphididae.
AUUAAUGAUAUUACCCAUGUGUUUAUUCUGAUUAAACAUUCGUUCAGACAAUAUUUUCAACGUAACAUUCAAGGCGGAUAGACUUAAUAUUCGUUUAUUAUUUAAAUUACUGGUGAGUAAACGCUAUAUUUUAUAAACACUAAUAUUAUUGUGAUAAUUUAUUGCUAAAGGCUUGUAAAAUCUAAUUUAAUUUUUAUGAAUAUUCUUAUGCAUUGGUUAUUUGGAACUACAAGUUUUUGAUUAAUUAAUUUUUACAAGCCUAUAGAUUAUAUUUUAAUAAAUAUUAUAUUGGUAGAUUAUUUUCUUGUUUAGAACAGUUUAUGAACAUAAUCAGUAAUUCUUGUUUAGUAUCAGUCAAUAUUAAGACUUAUUUUUUCUUAGUAGUUUAAUACGUACUUAAAAAUACGUUUUCUCAUUAAUAAGUUUAAUGGGAGGACAAAAUAAAAUUUGCCUAGGGGCAGCAAUUAAAUCCGUCUCUUGACCAUAGUUAACGGUUUCUGUAAUUAAUGUAAAUAUCGAGUAUAAAUUAUUGGAUUUUAACAUAAAAUAAAUAUUAUUUCAUUAUGUUUAUAGAAUAUUAAAAUUUCUAUUGUUUUUAAAAAUGAAAUAUUGUUUUAUAGUAUUUAUUAAUAGCCCAAUACAAAAUAUUUUGGUUUUAACGCAAGCGAAUAAAAUAUAUCGUCAAUAUUUUAUGAACUUUAAAUUUUAAAUCCAAUCAAAAUUAAAUAAUUACCUAUAUAGUUUGAUUGGAAAAUGAUGUGUGGGUAUCGGCCAACCUAAUUAGAAAUUUAAGAACAAAAAAUCGUGCCUGUCUAUGUUUUCCCGUGCCUAUUACAAUUAACCAUUGUUGUCUUGUAAAAACCAAUAUAUAUCUAGCUCCGAGCUAAUUUAAAAAUAGGAAAAAAAAUGCGAAAUAUUUUCUUUUUAUUUGUUUAGGUCUACCAUAUUCAUUAAAUAUACCAGUUGGAAAAUAUAACAUUCCAGAAAAAUUACAUUCUGAAAAAUUUUUGAAAAUUGUAUGUCUACAAAAGGCCAAUAUAACUAUUUUGUUAAAACUACGGGUUUUACAAAAUUUCCUACGGUUUUUUUCCCGAUUUUUCGGUAAUUAUUACGAAAACAACUUUGUGUAUCAAAAAAAAAAAAAUAGAUUUUCUCAUCCAGUGACUAUAUAAUAAAAGUAACGAAAUCGAUUUCUUGUUAUUUUUUUGAUUAAAGCAAUAUACCUGGUAGACGCUGCAGUGAACUGUACAUAUUUGCCAUUUUACCUAUAAUUUUGUUUCUGGUUUUUCCCAAUUAUUCUGAAAAUCUCUUGGAAAAUUAAAAUAUGACUUCUUUAAUAUGCAAACUAGAGAAAAUUUCCUUCCAAAAAAUGCUAUAACUGAGCAAUAUUUUUUUUCGAAAAGUUGUUUAGACAGAAUAAAAAUACAUAUAGUAAAUCAACAGAUUCCUCGCUACUCUCAGAAUUUAAUAAUUUAUAAUUUUGACCAACUUUUAUUUCAGAAUUAAAAAAUGAGCACGCCACAGCCACUGCUGGCAUAGGCUCAGCAGUCCCCGUUGUCACCCCCAAAGCAGUCAAUGCAACAAAGGUAACUAUUACUAUUAUUUACCGGUCUUGUUAAAAAUACUUUUUGAAUUCGAAUUAUAUGCUGCUUUUACCUCUAGGAAAUCACCAAAAUUCAUGUAUAUGUAUUUAUAUCUUUAAAACCCUUGGUGAAAUUUUAUUAUCAAACGACAAUUUAUUAAAUUUUAUGAUGACACUGUAUAUAAUUACACAAUUUAAUUUCAUUAUAAUCACUACAAUAUUUUAAAUGUUACAGACGCUUCACAUAAAAAGAAAAUCUAGUUGUGAGAUCUUUAAUACACUUAUUACUUAUAUAUGGCGAACAUCGAUUACAUAUACAGUACACCUGUAUAAGGAAGCAGUAUGAGUUGAUGCAUACAGCAAUUAUUAUUAUAAUUAACAUCUUGAAGUACAUUGGAAAACAAAGUCUUAAUAUUUGUAUGUCUUGAAAACUAAGCCUAUGCUUGUGCUACAAAUGGCAAAUCUUUGAAGAAAAAAACCCAUAACCAUGUUAAUAUAGUAAAUGGUGACAAUAGGAGUCUGGGUGAUUCAAACCAUUUACCAGAAUAUGUGUGCUACAAAUAGUCCAAAGAGGUACAGAUCUGAUAACGACAAUUUAUGUUCAACAGUAUUAUCCUGAAUCAUCCGAGUAUUUGCAUGACAUAUAGGCUAUCGAUCAGUAGAGCAAAGUAGCAGUCAUAAUAUUGGAGCUCUUUAAAAUUGAAUAUUAAAAUCGACUUCCAAGGAAACCUAGAAAAUUUGUUAACAAAUGCAUACAAAUUUAAAUCGAAUAUGGGAAAGGUCUGAAAUGUAUGAAAUGUUGGUGUGCACAGGCUCCAUUAAAAAUUACUUAUCUUACUUUUAAUAGUUACUAAUCAUUAUUAUUAUAUUAUAUUAUAUUGAUUUUAGGGCCUUUGAUGAAAAAAGCUGCCAAAGGUGAACUUUUUGAUUGUUUUAAGGAGACACGAAUAUAAAAAAGUUAGUUAUUGUUAAUACAACAGAAUUUCUUCUACUAGAUUUCUACCAAAAUACAUAAAGCACUACAAGUAAUUCUUAUUUCAUUUUAAAGAAGCCCAAAUUAAAGCAAGCAAUUUUACACUUAUAAGAAAAGCAUGUAUAGUUAAUCUGGUUCAAUGAAAUGAUCUAAAUAUUCUUAUAUCUCCUAAAAUAAUUUUGUUUAUAUAUAUCCACCACAAUGAUUAUAUUGUUUUUAAUAGUUCUUAACUUCUGAAUUGUAAUUUAACGUUUAAUAAUAAUUUGAAAAGACAAAUUUUUAUAUUGUAUACUCUAAUGUUUAAAUAGUAUUAAAACAAUAUGCGUGCAUAGGGUAUACAUCCUGCAAAAAUGUGUGCCUACUUUAAAUUUUUGAUGAAAAAUUGUUUAAUUAUUUAAAACUGAUAAGUGUAACUGAGUAGGUAUAAUUAUUGCUAAAUAUACUAUAUAUUUACUAAAUAUAUUUCGCCAUGGGUAUAAUUUAUUCUGUAUCAUUAUUUUUUAGGAUGUUAAAAUUAAAUUUGUAUUGUAGUUAAUUGAAGAUUUUAACUCUGUUUAUCU